Non-coding RNA from Vicugna pacos (alpaca), 997 nucleotides. NCBI's taxonomy places the organism in Eukaryota, Metazoa, Chordata, Mammalia, Artiodactyla, Camelidae. The record is from RefSeq and is a predicted model, not a curated record.
CAGGCUGUGUUCUCUGUUCCCCGGAGCCCACUCUGGACCCCAUGGCUUUAGACAGAGGGUGAAAUUGAGGGUGGUGGGAAGGAGCUGGGGAAGGGGGUGUGGCUGGGGUGUGGGGCGUAGUUGGAACUUCGGGGCGAUAGACCUCAGGACACAAAGUAUGGAGGAGGAGGCAGGUCCCGUGAGGGGCGUGGUUAGGGUGCCUGGGCGGGGCCAGAAUUCUAGUGGACUGAGUUAAAACAUGGGACGCUGUUAGGGUGUGGGAUGCAACCAAGAGCAGAUUUAGGCGGGAAUCCCUAACGCUGUUAGGGGGCGCAGACAGCGGCGGAGGGCGUGGUUUAUAAUACGGUGUUCAAACCAGUGGCGUGAGGAGAAAAGAGGUGGGGCCUGGACUGGAGAUGGAGGAUAAUCGAAUGCUGGAGUAGAGUCUGACUUGGAGAAGGCAAGUUAGAAUUGGGGCAGGACUGCGGCUGAGGGGCAGGACCUAAACAAGGCCUGAGCUUGGGCAAGAGAGUGGCGGAGCUAUAUGCCUGGAAGAAGUCUGAGUUCUGAAAGGAGACGGGGUUAGGACGCGGGAAGAAGGACAGGGAAAGAGGAGAGUGGAGCUACGCGCUGGGGCGCGUAUAACACCAAGCCUGGCAGGAGUCGGCUGGGCCGGACCCUGCAUUUGAGAAAAAUCGAGGAUGGACCGCCGGCCAGCUCCUCCACCCAGGAUGCGUCUUUCGGGAUUGGGCUCUGGCUCCUCUUCGUGACAUCGCCUAGCGUCUCCGGAGCCAUCAUCCUGAAGAAUGGGGGGCAAAGGGGAGCUGGUUCUGGGCCUCGCCCCUAGCAGCUCCUCCGCUGUCAGGCCGGGUCCUCUUCCAUCUGGCAGACCCCAUCCUGACCUCCGCCUCCUGAUCCUCCCUCAGGAUUCUGAGCACAGAGCCCUCAGCCCGCCCCGCCUCCUCCCUGAAUCUCCGUGUUCAUUGUCCGCCUGCAAUAAACUCCAGCCCCAACUGCC